GAUGAACGCUGGCGGCGUGCCUAAUACAUGCAAGUCGAGCGAACAGACAAGGAGCUUGCCCCUUUGACGUUAGCGGCGGACGGGUGAGUAACACGUGGGUAACCUACCUAUAAGACUGGGAUAACUUCGGGAAACCGGAGCUAAUACCGGAUAAUAUUUCGAACCGCAUGGUUCGAUAGUGAAAGAUGGUUUUGCUAUCACUUAUAGAUGGACCCGCGCCGUAUUAGCUAGUUGGUAAGGUAACGGCUUACCAAGGCGACGAUACGUAGCCGACCUGAGAGGGUGAUCGGCCACACUGGAACUGAGACACGGUCCAGACUCCUACGGGAGGCAGCAGUAGGGAAUCUUCCGCAAUGGGCGAAAGCCUGACGGAGCAACGCCGCGUGAGUGAUGAAGGUCUUCGGAUCGUAAAACUCUGUUAUUAGGGAAGAACAUACGUGUAAGUAACUAUGCACGUCUUGACGGUACCUAAUCAGAAAGCCACGGCUAACUACGUGCCAGCAGCCGCGGUAAUACGUAGGUGGCAAGCGUUAUCCGGAAUUAUUGGGCGUAAAGCGCGCGUAGGCGGUUUUUUAAGUCUGAUGUGAAAGCCCACGGCUCAACCGUGGAGGGUCAUUGGAAACUGGAAAACUUGAGUGCAGAAGAGGAAAGUGGAAUUCCAUGUGUAGCGGUGAAAUGCGCAGAGAUAUGGAGGAACACCAGUGGCGAAGGCGACUUUCUGGUCUGUAACUGACGCUGAUGUGCGAAAGCGUGGGGAUCAAACAGGAUUAGAUACCCUGGUAGUCCACGCCGUAAACGAUGAGUGCUAAGUGUUAGGGGGUUUCCGCCCCUUAGUGCUGCAGCUAACGCAUUAAGCACUCCGCCUGGGGAGUACGACCGCAAGGUUGAAACUCAAAGGAAUUGACGGGGACCCGCACAAGCGGUGGAGCAUGUGGUUUAAUUCGAAGCAACGCGAAGAACCUUACCAAAUCUUGACAUCCUUUGACAACUCUAGAGAUAGAGCCUUCCCCUUCGGGGGACAAAGUGACAGGUGGUGCAUGGUUGUCGUCAGCUCGUGUCGUGAGAUGUUGGGUUAAGUCCCGCAACGAGCGCAACCCUUAAGCUUAGUUGCCAUCAUUAAGUUGGGCACUCUAAGUUGACUGCCGGUGACAAACCGGAGGAAGGUGGGGAUGACGUCAAAUCAUCAUGCCCCUUAUGAUUUGGGCUACACACGUGCUACAAUGGACAAUACAAAGGGCAGCGAAACCGCGAGGUCAAGCAAAUCCCAUAAAAUUGUUCUCAGGUCGGAUUGUAGUCUGCAACUCGACUACAUGAAGCUGGAAUCGCUAGUAGUCGUAGAUCAGCAUGCUACGGUGAAUAAGUUCCCGGGUCU
Molecule: ribosomal RNA, 1372 nt
Filed under: uncultured bacterium
Lineage: Bacteria
Description: bacterial SSU rRNA
Rfam family: Bacterial small subunit ribosomal RNA
Source: RNAcentral